This 515-nucleotide ribosomal RNA is filed under the name uncultured bacterium. Its description in RNAcentral is "partial 16S ribosomal RNA". It matches the Rfam family "Bacterial small subunit ribosomal RNA", at positions 28 to 523 of the family's 1533-position model. The record is from RNAcentral.
GAUGAACGCUGGCGGCGUGCCUAAUACAUGCAAGUCGAGCGAAUGGAUUAAGAGCUUGCUCUUAUGAAGUUAGCGGCGGACGGGCGAGUAACACGUGGGUAACCUGCCCAUAAGACUGGGAUAACUCCGGGAAACCGGGGCUAAUACCGGAUAACAUUUUGAACCGCAUGGUUCGAAAUUGAAAGGCGGCUUCGGCUGUCACUUAUGGAUGGACCCGCGUCGCAUUAGCUAGUUGGUGAGGUAACGGCUCACCAAGGCAACGAUGCGUAGCCGAACUGAGAGGGUGAUCGGCCACACUGGGACUGAGACACGGCCCAGACUCCUACGGGAGGCAGCAGUAGGGAAUCUUUCGCAAUGGACGAAAGUCUGACGGAGCAACGCCGCGUGAGUGAUGAAGGCUUUCGGGUCGUAAAACUCUGUUGUUAGGGAAGAACAAGUGCUAGUUGAAUAAGCUGGCACCUUGACGGUACCUAACCAGAAAGCCACGGCUAACUACGUGCCAGCAGCCGCUGUAA